CGGAGUCUAGCAUGUGCGCGAGUCAUUGGGACAAAACCUAAAGGCGCAAUGAAAGUGAAGGUCCGCCUUGCGCGGCCGAGGGAGGAUGGGCUGCCGCCCCGCACUCCCGGGGCGUCUCGUUCUCAUUGCGAGAAGAGGCGCACCAAGAGCGUACACGCUGGGACCCGAAAGAUGGUGAACUAUGCCUGGUCAGGACGAAGUCAGGGGAAACCCUGAUGGAGGUCCGUAGCGAUUCUGACGUGCAAAUCGAUCGUCGGAACUGGGUAUAGGGGCGAAAGACUAAUCGAACCAUCUAGUAGCUGGUUCCCUCCGAAGUUUCCCUCAGGAUAGCUGGCGCUCGUUGCGUACGAGUUUCAUCCGGUAAAGCGAAUGAUUAGAGGCAUUGGGGUCGAAACGGCCUCAACCUAUUCUCAAACUUUAAAUGGGUGAGAUCUCCGGCUUGCUCGACUCGAAUCAGAGUGCCAAGUGGGCCAUUUUUGGUAAGCAGAACUGGCGCUGUGGGAUGAACCAAACGCCGAGUUAAAGCGCCUAAAUCGACGCUUAUGGGAUACCAUGAAAGGCGUUGGUAACUUAAGACAUCAGGACGGUGGCCAUGGAAGUC
This 601-nucleotide ribosomal RNA is filed under the name Mesomorphus sp. NLG-2012. RNAcentral describes it as "eukaryotic LSU rRNA". It matches the Rfam family "Eukaryotic large subunit ribosomal RNA", at positions 670 to 1262 of the family's 3401-position model. Lineage: Eukaryota; Metazoa; Arthropoda; Insecta; Coleoptera; Tenebrionidae. The record is from RNAcentral.